UACGUAGGGUGCGAGCGUUGUCCGGAAUUAUUGGGCGUAAAGAGCUUGUAGGCGGUUUGUCGCGUCUGCCGUGAAAAUCCGGGGCUCAACCCCGGACUUGCGGUGGGUACGGGCAGACUAGAGUGUGGUAGGGGAGACUGGAAUUCCUGGUGUAGCGGUGAAAUGCGCAGAUAUCAGGAGGAACACCUGAGGUGAAGACGGGUUGCUGGGCUGACACUGACGCUGAGGCGCGAAAGCCAGGGGAGCAAACGGG
This 253-nucleotide ribosomal RNA is filed under the name uncultured bacterium. RNAcentral's name for it is "partial 16S ribosomal RNA". It matches the Rfam family "Bacterial small subunit ribosomal RNA", at positions 524 to 776 of the family's 1533-position model. The record is from RNAcentral.